GACGAACCGUGCGAACGUUAUUCGGAAUCACUGGGCUUAAAGCGCGUGUAGGCGGGCCGGCACGUCGGUACCUGAAAGCCCCCGGCUCAACCGGGGAAUGGGGGCCGAUACGACCGGCCUGGAGGGACGUAGGGGGACCUGGAACUUCCGGUGGAGCGGUGAAAUGCGUUGAGAUCGGAAGGAACGCCCGUGGCGAAAGCGAGGUCCUGGACGUCUGCUGACGCUGAGACGCGAAAGCCAGGGGAGCGAACGGG
This 254-nucleotide ribosomal RNA is filed under the name uncultured bacterium. RNAcentral describes it as "partial 16S ribosomal RNA". It matches the Rfam family "Bacterial small subunit ribosomal RNA", at positions 524 to 776 of the family's 1533-position model. The record is from RNAcentral.